Molecule: transfer RNA, 59 nt
Filed under: Broxylus kalamensis
Lineage: Eukaryota; Metazoa; Arthropoda; Insecta; Coleoptera; Lycidae
Description: tRNA-Leu
Source: RNAcentral
UGUGACAGAAUAGUGUGAUAAAUUUAAGAUUUAUUUAUAAAGUUAGCCUUUCUUUAGAA